Molecule: unclassified non-coding RNA, 196 nt
Filed under: uncultured fungus
Lineage: Eukaryota; Fungi
Description: sequence contains ITS1
Source: RNAcentral
UUAACUAUUAUAUAGUACUCAGACAUCACUAAACAAACGAGUUUGGGUCCUCUGGCAGGCGCAGUCAGCCGGAGCCGACGCCUAAAAGGCGGCCUGCCAAAGCAACAAAGGUAUGUAUACACGGUUUGGGAAUAGAACCCAUUUCAAAAAACGGGGCGAUUCUUUAAUGAUCCUUCCGCAGGUUCACCUACGGAAA